GCAGACGCAUGCUGUGGUCUGCCAAUACCAGGUCCGCGUCCCCUUGAUGUCGCGAAUCACACCAGCAGAAGCCCCAAUUUGCGGAUCUAUUCCACCCGACGUUGAUGAGCUGGUUAUGCCCGAGAAUUCCUCCGUUCCAAAUCCAGUCCUUUCCAUCUUCCCAUAAGAAUUGCCCUGCCUCCUCCAUGCAAGCUCAAUGCCAUCACAAUAGACAAUACCAUGCCGCCCCCACGUGAGCUCAGCGCCGCCGCAUUCCUGUAUCGCGCCCACGCCUGUCAGAGGCCGCCGUGAUGCGAGAUCCGCGCUCCCACAAUCACGCGUGCCCCGUGCCCUACGUCCCCAGGCUAACUCCUAUAAUGGAUCCCGGGGGGUCCUAUCCUCUGGCGCCAAAGGGGACGGCGGCCUGAAGAACGACAAGUCUCAGAGGAGGAUGAGCGGCGGGUGUAGUUGGUGCUCAACCGGGAGAGCGCGCACCUAUGACUUCAGAGGAAGAAGCAGCGCUCACCGCCACCCUUCACUGCGUCCACCGCCUUCCCCUAGUGGCGCGAGGCGCCUCACCGGCCGGAUCCGCUCGAUUUGGACACACCGCUACCACAUCCCUCGAGUUGCAGAUGCGCCAGCCUUAACACCAUCUCCUUCCACAUGCUGGCGUGCUACUCGCGUGGACGCUCGUCACGAUCUGGAUGUCGCGCCGCCUCAGCAGCCUGACGCCACCCAUGAAUCAGCAACUGGGUAGUGGACCAAUUGAACUGAUUUGAGAGGAUUGUGCUUUGAUUUUCCGACCUCUUGCAGCUUGACGACGAGGAAGAGAUGGAUCUGCCUCUGUUGCUGGGAGAUGGACAAUGACUUUUGGUGCUAUUUCCUAAAUAAGAUAUACACAUGUCUUCACACCGCCAUCUCUGUUGCGCCCAUAACGCAAGCUCCGGUGGCGCCGCGAUGUUGGUCCGCGAAGAGGACACAAACACUAUAGCUCUGAACUCCAUGGCAGACAUUGCUCUCAUUCUGUUGCUAUUGUUGUGGAGCGCCGAGGGCGCAUGUCCCAUGGCCGCUGGUUCUCCCAGUCAAGGGACGCAAAAUCUGCCACUGUCGUUUCUCUCUGUGCGCUGGUAUGUUUUGUGUGUGAUUUGGAGUUUGGCAACUAGCAUGAUGCGAGAAAAAACAUCAGUGGAUACCUCCCAUCAAUUGUUGAAAGUUGGUUUGUUACUUUAGACUGACGACUGAAUCCACAGGUAAUGUUUGCAGUAAUAAAAUAACAACCUUCAUUGCAGGACAAGUUCUACCUGAAUCUCAUGGUUUGUCUUCACACAAUGUUCUCUUAGUUGGUUUGCAGCAUGCAGCAAGUAGUUCUAGUUGCUGCUUUUAGAGAAGCUCCAGUUGUAGGUCAUAAAUUGCUUGGAAAAAUGCAACAUCGAUGCUAUCAUCCUGACGAGACUAUGACCGGUGAUGCAGAUUAUUUUGUAUGCUGAUGGUGCCAUGGCGGCUGCAUGCCGGAGGGCUGCAUACUCGACGUCUACAUCGCCGUCUUCAACAAGGAUAAGAUCUCCCUCGCUAGUCACGACGAGGUCCGCGCCAGCACUCCCAUUCCCAUUCUUUCUCCCUCCCUAGGAAUUGGGGUUUCUAUUGCUUUUUUUUGUUUGGUGUGUACCUCUGCAGUAUAUGGUGGCGGGCGAGCGGAACUUCUUUCCACUGCUCCUGGAGGCGUCAAGCCCUCUCUAGUGAUCGGAUGGGAGUGCCAGGUUCAGUCCCAUCUUGGCUUUAGAUUGAGAAGAUUGUGACUUUGAAACCUUUUAGAUGUACAGAAAGAAACCAGAUUGUGUUUGUACAUAAUGAUGGUGAGAAGAUCAAAUAUAUGGUAUGGGAAGUGGUUUCA
Long non-coding RNA from Triticum aestivum (bread wheat), 1870 nucleotides. RefSeq lists it as uncharacterized. The record is from RefSeq and is a predicted model, not a curated record. The transcript has 7 exons. Lineage: Eukaryota; Viridiplantae; Streptophyta; Magnoliopsida; Poales; Poaceae.